GGGGCUGUAGCUCAGUGGUUGAGCACUUGCCUUGUAUGCAUGAGGCACAGGGUUUCCAUCGUCAUCACCA
This 70-nucleotide transfer RNA is filed under the name Ictidomys tridecemlineatus (thirteen-lined ground squirrel). RNAcentral's name for it is "Spermophilus tridecemlineatus (thirteen-lined ground squirrel) tRNA". It matches the Rfam family "tRNA". Rfam says of the family: Transfer RNA (tRNA) molecules are approximately 80 nucleotides in length. Their secondary structure includes four short double-helical elements and three loops (D, anti-codon, and T loops). Lineage: Eukaryota; Metazoa; Chordata; Mammalia; Rodentia; Sciuridae. The record is from Rfam by way of RNAcentral.